RNAcentral lists this ribosomal RNA (468 nucleotides) under uncultured bacterium. Its description in RNAcentral is "partial 16S ribosomal RNA". It matches the Rfam family "Bacterial small subunit ribosomal RNA", at positions 28 to 507 of the family's 1533-position model. The record is from RNAcentral.
GACGAACGCUGGCGGCGUGCUUAACACAUGCAAGUCGAACGGAAAUGCCCUGCUUUUGUGGGGUGCUCGAGUGGCGAACGUGUGUGUCACACGUGAGUAACCUGCCCUUGACUUUGGGAUAACUUCAGGAAACUGGGGCUAAUACCGGAUAGUAGCUCCUGCUGCAUGUUUGGGGUUGGAAAGUUUCGGCGGUUGGGGAUGGACUCGCGGCUUAUCAGCUUGUUGGUGGGGUAGUGGCUUACCAAGGCUUUGAAGGGUAGCCGGCCUGAGAGGGUGACCGGCCACAUUGGGGAUGAGAUCAGGCCCAGAAUCCUACGGGAGGCAGGAGUGGGGAAUAUUGCACAAUGGGCGGAAGCCUGAUGCAGAAACGCCGCGUGCGGGAUGACGGCCUUCGGGUUGUAAACCGCUUUCGCCUGUGACGAAGAGUGAGUGACGGUAAUGGGUAAAGAAGCACCGGCUAAAUACGUG